GUAAAAGUCAGUGAGUCGGGCGGGGACUGGCCCAGAGGCGCGCCCCGCGUUGUCCUCCGGCCGUCUCCCCGCCCGUCCUUCUCUGCUCUCUCCGACUUGCCCUCCCGGCGGACUUAGCCUGGACCCCGGCCGGCCGGCCGGCCGGCCCCUCCCGUUCCCGGCCCCGGCAAUGAGGGUGGCAACCCUACCCCAGGACUGCAAGAGAGGAAGAAGAGGAAGAGGAGACCGGGGAGCCCCAACCUGAAGGUGUUGUGGGGCGGAGCUCAGACCCCGCCCCACUCGCCUAGAGUUGAGGACAGAAACCCCGGCUGUGGUGGCCAUAGCUGAAGAAGAGAAGGAGGAGGAGGAGGAGGAGG
This is a long non-coding RNA of Tachyglossus aculeatus (Australian echidna), 356 nucleotides long. RefSeq lists it as uncharacterized. The transcript is spliced from 4 exons. Lineage: Eukaryota; Metazoa; Chordata; Mammalia; Monotremata; Tachyglossidae. The record is from RefSeq and is a predicted model, not a curated record.